UCUUGGAUGCCCUUGAGGUAAUCUAAAACAUAUCAAAAAAUUAAUUUCAAAGUGAACUAUCUCUUUAAGUUUGUGGGCCACUGUGCCUUUGAGGUGUGUUUGCGUGCUACGAUUUAGUGGUUUUCCUUUUGCUUGUGACUGUAAAAUAUGUAUUUUAGGUAGGUGGAGAAAAACAUAUUUUGAGUUUUUAUAUUUGGGAUUGUAGUUGGGCUACUCUUGGCAGACCUCACUACAUGCCGUGUGCGCAGAAAGUGUCAAAAAGUGUUUGAAACUGACAUUGCAAUAUUUUUUACUUUCUUUAUGAAUUCAUCUGGUUGCCAAUAGUAAAUUCAGAUUUUAGGUCUUAGAACUACAAACUGACUAUCUCUAAUUGAAUUACUUUAUUAUUGACUUUUUAAAACAUGGAGACAAUUUAAAUUAUGUUCUAAUGAAAGAGUGACUGAGCGGUCAAAGAGGCCAAUGUUUUUAUGUUAUAAACUGACAAAUUGGUGCAUUUUAGUAGCUUCCAAAUAAAUGUCUUGCUAACUAAUUUUUUUUUAUUUGUUGUCAGGUCAUUGAGUGUGUGUGUCAGUGCAUUUAAAAGUAGUAAAACUAUGAGAUGCCUUUAGACUGAGAUCAUGGAAGUGCUGCCUGGAAAUUUUCUCAUAAAUUGUGCGUCAAGUCUCUGAUGUAACGCAUUACUGGUAAACAAAACAAUUUGCUUGGGCAGGGAAAACUGUUGAAUUGACCCGUCUGUCUCUUGGGUUGCAUAGACAUUUUUCAGGUUUUAGACAUGGCAUUCAUCAUGCCAUGUGAAUUAUUUAUUAUCUGUGGCCAAAUGUAAACAUGACAUUGGUAAAAUCCUACUCUGGGGGUUCUCUGGCUUUUUUCUCCUUUUUUGUCACUUAAUUGUCACUCUCUAACUCACAGAUUGUACUCGCAAAACCAGGAUUAUUGACGUUGUGUACAAUGCCUCCAACAAUGAGCUGGUGAGAACCAAGACCCUGGUGAAGAACUGCAUUGUUCUGGUGGACAGCACAUCGUACACAGGCAGUGUAUAAAGCUCACUAUGCCAUUCCUUUGGGCUGCCAGAAAGUUACAAAACUGGCCUGGCCAGUGUGGCAGAGCAGGCGGAAUCAUGUUGGAAGGGAAAGAGCUGGAGUUUUACCUCUGGAAGAUCAACGGCAAACAGACAAGCAAUACAACCAGAACUCUACAGUAUAACCGUUUAAGGGUGAAAAUGAAUAUCAUUGUGCAAAAAUUAUUCAGGUCACCAGUGUGAAUGAUUAAUUCCUAAUGGGCUAACAAAAUUGGCUGGGUAAUUUUGUCCUGAAAUAUUGCAUUUUGCACAACAUUUCUUACACUUUCGUGCACCUACGGUCACUUUUGCACAUUCAUGUUACUAUUUACUGUUACUAAUAAUUUAAUCUUAUUUUGUUUAUUUAUUUCCAAUAUUUAUUUCAAUAGUAGACCUGAUGUUUGUGUCUUAAACGGUUAGUUCACCCAAAACUGAAAAUGCGGUCAUUAAUUUGACUAGGCUACUCUACCUGACUAUAUAAUUGUCACAGUCUUUGUCUGCACCAUUCUGUCUUUGUCAUCUUCACUACACUUCCCAGCAUCCUCUUGUCUCCACACCUGAACUCACUCCCUUAAUCAUCUUCCUGUUCAUCGUCCUGAUCAUCUGUGUCACCUGUCAUCACCUUGUUAGUGUUCAUUUUGUAUCUGUAUUUAGUUCUCUCUGGUUCAGUCUGUGCUUGUCCGUUCUUGAUUAUGUUUCAUGGAUAGUGUGUGUAAUCUUCUGCCAGUCUUCCUUGUACCUGUUUGGAGUUUUUGAGUAAAUGUUUUGUAUUGGAGCUUUG
Pimephales promelas (fathead minnow) is the source of this 1838-nucleotide non-coding RNA. NCBI's taxonomy places the organism in Eukaryota, Metazoa, Chordata, Actinopteri, Cypriniformes, Leuciscidae. The record is from RefSeq and is a predicted model, not a curated record.